CGGGGUGCAGCAGGCGCGAAAACUUUACAAUGCUGGAAACAGCGAUAAGGGGACCUCGAGUGCCAGGUUACAAAUCUGGCUGUCGUGAUGCCUAAAAAGCAUUGCACAGCAAGGGCCGGGCAAGACCGGUGCCAGCCGCCGCGGUAACACCGGCGGCUCGAGUGGUAACCGUUAUUAUUGGGUCUAAAGGGUCUGUAGCCGGCCGGAUAAGUCUCUUGGGAAAUCCAGCAGCUCAACUGUUGGGCUUUCAGGAGAUACUGUCUGGCUCGAGGCCGGGAGAGGUGAGAGGUACUUCAGGGGUAGGGGUGAAAUCUUGUAAUCCUUGAAGGACCACCAGUGGCGAAGGCGUCUCACCAGAACGGACCUGACGGCAAGGGACGAAAGCUAGGGGCACGAACCGGAUUAGAUACCCGGGUAGUCCUAGCCGUAAACGAUACUCGCUAGGUGUCGGCCACGGUGCGACCGUUGUCGGUGCCGUAGGGAAGCCGUGAAGCGAGCCACCUGGGAAGUACGGCCGCAAGGCUGAAACUUAAAGGAAUUGGCGGGGGAGCAC
Molecule: ribosomal RNA, 553 nt
Filed under: uncultured archaeon
Lineage: Archaea
Description: bacterial SSU rRNA
Rfam family: Archaeal small subunit ribosomal RNA
Source: RNAcentral